Molecule: long non-coding RNA, 330 nt
Filed under: Vigna radiata
Lineage: Eukaryota; Viridiplantae; Streptophyta; Magnoliopsida; Fabales; Fabaceae
Description: long non-coding RNA (VRAD_LNC012519)
Source: RNAcentral
GAGGGAUGUUUCCUUGGAUGAAAGGUACGAAAAUGUGGUGGUAAAUGGUUCAAGGAUGAUGAGUUAAGGUAUGGAUGGGGUAGAAGCUCAAAGGCUCUAGGAGAUAUGGUGGUGGUGGUGUAGUGUUUGGUGGCUCCAAGAGAGGUUAGGCCAACUUAAGGAGGAAGGUGACUAGAGGGCCUCAUGGGUUGCUCUAGUCUUGAUCUAAGAUGAGUAGUAUGGCCAAAAAUGGGCAGCAUAACAUUACUCAAAAUCAAAGAUGAAAUACAAGGGUGGAGACACCUCUAUUUAUAGGCCAAGGGUGUCUCCUUCUAACCCUAAAAGCACGAU